UGCCAGCAAACAUAGAUGUCUCUCCUCUCGCACGCCAAGAGUUCUUGGGGCAGAAAUAAAUAUUCACUAUAAAAGCUGACGAGGAAGUAGAAAGGCUGUCAGGAGUCAGAGCUGAUGGUGUUGACAGACUAUAAACCACACCAGCAACUACAAGCACAGACAUGAAGACAGACCUGGUCAUCAUCUUGUCUCUGUCUUUUCUUAUUUCUAUGCAGGAUAUUAUUAGUGGUAACCAGUCAUGUCCAAAGCUUGAAUUUGUGCAAGUGCCGGAAAAAAUCGUAGGUUUUGAAGGCAGUCCUGUCAACCUCACCUUUUACUUGGACAGCAGACAGUGUCCUAAUCAGACUAGCUACACCAUCAUCAUCUCCAGGGAUGACAAUGGUCGACAUCCAAACAUCUGUACAUUCCGUAUGUUCAACAAAUGCGAGGUUUCAAGAACCUCAGUUGGGUGUUUCUGUCUCUCCCACUUCGGUCCGAUGCUGCUCACGACCAAUCUGACCAACAAGACUUACAUCUGGAAAUGGGGCGACACUCCUCCAUUUGAGGAGAGAAUAGUCACCUUUAGAACUGACAGUGGCGGCGCUAAAGCGUAUCAAGUGAAAGGCACCGAGUCCAAGAACGACAACUCGAUGGUCCUAGUCAUCAGCACGUAGACUGCUGUGUGUCUGGUGGUCAUCGCAGCUGUCAUCAUAACGGCCAUCGCAUGCCGCAGGAGAGUCAGAAGAGGGUUUGAUGAAACACGCCUCAGACACGGACACCACAAGGCUCGGAUGGUCUCAUACACCACAGACACCCCACUACCAACCAAAACCCUCGGCGACCCGGCAACAGACAUUUAUGAUGAAAUUGGAGCUGUACCAAAGCGAUGUAGAGUCAGCCUCAAGAAUGGAGUGAGCCUGCCCCCCAUCCCUGACUUCAACUUGUACGUUGAGACACCCUGCUCCACUCUGGGCACCGACCAUGAGGAGACCCCAGUCGAGUACCUGAUUCCGCUGGUAGUGUCUGACACACGAACCCAGGAAACUGCUGAGUACCGACUCGUGACCUGUGCUCAGUCACUGACCACGUGUCGCCCGCUCAGCAGCUGCCUGUAGAGCAGCCGCUCUACUACCGCCAUUUUUUUCUGGAAACAAAAUCUAACAUAAUACUCUGCUCUUUUUUUUUUUGCUUGUUUUUUGUUUGUUUGUUUGUUUGUUUUUUUUUUUGUUUAUUUUGUUUUACUUGUUUGUAGAUAUUUUUCUAUUGCUUUUGGUGCCCAGUUCCGGCAGUAGACACUAUGACCGGUCCCGAGUUCCGAGUCAUGAGCUGUACUCAGUCACUGACCACGUGGCGCCCGCUCAGUAGCUCUCUGUAGAGCAGCCGCCAUUUUUUCUGGAAACAAAAUCUAUCGUAAUAUUCUGCUUUUUUUCGUUUUACUUGUUUGUAGAUAUUUUGUUAUUGUUGUUGGCACCCAGUUCCGGCAGUAGACACUAUGGCCGAUCCCGAGUCAUGAGCUGUACUCAGCCACUGACCAACUGGCGACCAAAUAACAGCUUCAUGUAGAGCCGCCUCUCUGCCAUCCUUUGUUUUUCUGGGAACAAAAUCGAACACAAUACUAUGUUUGUUUUUUGUUGUUUAUCAUUUUUUUCUUUCAAGUAUUUGUUUUAAAAAAAAGUUUUUGUUCCUAUUAAUGUGCACUGCAUUUCCAAUACUGGAUCGGUAGAGAAUACGACCGCUACGCCAUCUGUCGGCCAAGCCCGCUGUGGUGAAUGAAAAAGAUGAGGAACGCGAAAUCGAACACUGGAACUGUUUUAUCAAUAGUUCCUAAGGGUGACGAAAGAUAUUUGUAAAGGAUCGUGAUCAGCUUUUGAAAGACCAUUGUAGCGAUGCUGCCUGAUAAAUAGAAAUACUUAUUGUACAGGUGACGUAUGCAAGUCUAUUUAUAGCUUCAUUCAAGCACAGUUCAAGAUACUAUUUCUCUAAAUCUGUCUCCCCUUCGUCUUCUUAUGUUCUUGAGAUACAACUAUGACAGACAUCACCAUGCACAGAAGUGUCUGUACACAAAUACGCCUACUUAACACUGACGAAAGUCCUGACAACCUAAGAUAAGCCAUGUACAAUGCUGACCUUGUGCUGUUGAACCAGGAAGUGUUUAGGUGGAUUGCUGUCUUCCGAGACCAACUUAGCCUCUAGCGACGUUUUCCGCUGUUAGUCUCGGCGAGCCUUAGCAAUGAAUGUGACUAAACCGGAAGCUUUGUACAAACCUGACUUGUUUUAGUAGUUAACUGGAAAAAAAAUCGUCUGCCUCGCAUCAUCCAGCACUUUCCCAUGCUUAAACUGCCUACUGGGACCAAUUAAGUUGAUCAUUGUCAUUGUCGUUGUCAUUGUCGUCAUUAUCGUCAUUGUCAUUGUCAUUGCCAGCAGUCAAGUAAUGCAAGUUCGUGGUUGAUCUCUUUCUAUGUGUCGCGGACCUCAUUGUGACGAAUUCGGAGUCCUUGUCCAUUUUUGAAGGAAAAAUACAUGUCUGGCCGUAAGUGAGAGAUAGAAGUGUGCGUGUGUCUGUGAGAGAGACGCACACGCCAUGGUAGCAUGACACGUGAUGUACGUAGGUUUGUAUCUCAAAACUUUUCACAAAUGGUAUUCGACAUUUGUGCACGGGUUUUUUUUUUUAAUCUCCAAUGAUAACAUAUUUCUCUGCAUUUGCUUUCACUUACAAUUUUGUCGCAAAGCCAUAGCAAAUUAUUUUAUUAAUACACAAAUUUUCCUUAACUCAGACUACACUGAUGCAGAUGAUAGGAAGCGAGAGUAAACCAUUUCCUUGGGAAACAUGGAGAACUCGAGUAAAGGCGUGUUGUUGUCAUAGUUACAAUGCGAUGCAAAGACCCCAUCCCCCUCUCGAGAACACUGCCAGGAUAUCUUUGCCACCUAGGGGUAAAAUGCAACCAUGGGGGUCUAGGUACCACAUUAUAACAUCGUAAACAAGACGUUUGUCCUCGAGUUCCUUAUAUUGCCCUAUUGUAUAUACCUACACUAUGGCCCAAGAAGCUUUGGGUGCCCUGCUACUUUGCUUUGU
This 3052-nucleotide unclassified non-coding RNA is filed under the name Pomacea canaliculata. RNAcentral describes it as "uncharacterized LOC112567707, transcript variant X2". Lineage: Eukaryota; Metazoa; Mollusca; Gastropoda; Architaenioglossa; Ampullariidae. The record is from RNAcentral.